This 482-nucleotide ribosomal RNA is filed under the name uncultured bacterium. Its description in RNAcentral is "bacterial SSU rRNA". It matches the Rfam family "Bacterial small subunit ribosomal RNA", at positions 8 to 526 of the family's 1533-position model. The record is from RNAcentral.
AGAGUUUGAUCAUGGCUCAGAACGAACGCUGGCGGCAGGCCUAACACAUGCAAGUCGAACGAGAAGCCACCUUCGGGUGGUGGACAGUGGCAGACGGGUGAGUAACGCGUGGGAACGUGCCUUUCGGUUCGGAAUAACCCAGGGAAACUUGGGCUAAUACCGGAUGCGCCCUUCGGGGGAAAGAUUCAUUGCCGAAAGAUCGGCCCGCGUCGGAUUAGCUGGUUGGUGGGGUAAUGGCUCACCAAGGCGACGAUCCGUAGCUGGUCUGAGAGGAUGACCAGCCACACUGGGACUGAGACACGGCCCAGACUCCUACGGGAGGCAGCAGUGGGGAAUAUUGGACAAUGGGCGAAAGCCUGAUCCAGCCAUGCCGCGUGGGUGAAGAAGGCCUUAGGGUUGUAAAGCUCUUUCAGCGGGGAAGAUAAUGACGGUACCCGCAGAAGAAGUCCCGGCUAACUUCGUGCCAGCAGCCGCGGUAAUAC